Gorilla gorilla gorilla (western lowland gorilla) is the source of this 1370-nucleotide long non-coding RNA. RefSeq lists it as uncharacterized. The transcript is spliced from 2 exons. The record is from RefSeq and is a predicted model, not a curated record. Lineage: Eukaryota; Metazoa; Chordata; Mammalia; Primates; Hominidae.
UGGCCUGCGGCGGGGAACAAAUGGGCCUCUAGCCCCGAUUCCCAGGCCUCCGGCCUCAUGGGGACCUCUGGGUGUCACUGGGACGCCGACUUUGCCUGUGCUCCAGCAGUCCCGACAUAACAACCUAGCCCAGAUCCCCUACCCAACCAAGACCCGGCUGUCAGACAUCCCAACUUCAUCUGAACCCCGACACCUGUCGUGAUAUUCUUGCCAAUACAACCGACGUCCCAGUUUUCCCAGCACCCCAGCACUCCAUUCCUGCCAUCAACCCCAUGCCCACCCAAACCCCAACAGAGACAACCCCAUUCAUGCGAACCCCAAUAUUCGCAAUCCCAAUUCUUCCUACAUCGACACACUUUGGUGCACCCCAACUUUACGCAACCCAGUUUGCCUACAAACUCCAACCCGCACCCAAGCCUAACUCCCACUGGAACCGCGAUUAUCACGGCUGGGCCUCCCCUACUGAGCCUGGUUGGCGGAGGGGAGUCUUAAAGCCGCCGCCAUCUGGAGAACCAGCUUUACAAGGACCCUCACUUCACUACUCUUCGGCGGCCCCAAAGCCUCUGGGGGGCCCUCUAUGGCCACCACUUGCUCCUCGCCCAGGAGUCAUCUCAUGCCGCCUCCCCCAGCCCUGGUGGAAGAAGCCAGCGCGGACCCCUGCCUCUCUGCCCCAGAAAGUCUUCGGAGGGAUGACCCUCUGCUGACAAGCUGGGGGAAGUUGGCGUUCAGAGACCCCCGUUUUGCUGCUCAUCCCAGGGAAAUCCCGGCCCCACUCCUGACCUCAGACUCACUCCCACCCUCAAGUGGAUCGAGGUGGGGGUAGCCAGGGGCGCUGUCUCCAGUGACAAGGUCUCUGGGACCCCUCAUGGGCUCAAGACCCCCUCCCCCAGGCAGCAGCUGUGUGACUCAUCACCACCCCCUCUGCACCUCGGGCCCCCCCACUACAGCCGCCCCACUCCCCGUCAGCGGCAGCCGGCUGCUGCGUCAGCCACUCACGCAGGGUGGUUAUUAAAGGAGAGAGACAUCAGCACCGAGCUCCCCUGCGCCCGCCGUCCAUGCGGGAGGGGCCACCCACCCACUGGAGCCCCAGACGCGGGCCCCACAUGCCCAGCCUGGGAGCAAUUCAGGCCCAUUCUUUCUGAUCUGCCCCCCCAGCCCCCAGCCCCAGCAGUCAGCGCGGGGGACGUUCUCUGCCCCAGAGCAGCCCUUGUAGGGGGGGAGUUGGAGGGGGUGCCUGGUAGUCAUAGCGGCCCCUGCAUAAUUGCGUAAUUCUUGCCGCUCCCCCCAACCCAUCGUUUCCUGGUUCUGUGAGCCUCUGCCUUUUCCUGGUUUUGCGAAGCGCCGUGUUCAUUCAUUCAUUCAUUCAUUCA